UUUGAUUCCGGAGAGGGAGCCUGAGAAACGGCUACCACAUCCAAGGAAGGCAGCAGGCGCGGAAAUUACCAAAUCUAGACAGUAGGAGGUGGUGAAGAGAAGUACUAAGUGGUGGCCUUUGGCUAUCAGCUUGGAAUGAACGUAAUUUAAGCAAUUCGAUGAGUAACUAAUGGAGGGCAAGUCCUGGUGCCAGCAGCCGCGGUAAUUCCAGCUCCAUUGGCGUGAUUUAAAGUUGCUGCGUUUAAAACGCUCGUAGUUGGAUCAUGCGGUAGCAAUUAGUACUUGAUAGCAUGCAGUUGACUGCCAUAGUCGGUGUGCGCUAUCAAGGUUAUGCUAAUUGUUACUAUUUAAACGCAAAUAUGAUAUUUGGCCUUAAAUGAGUCGGAGUGUCAUGUUUUGCGAAGUUGUGCCUUGAAUAAAACAAAGUGCUUAAAGCAGGCGAACGCUUGAAUGUUAUAGCAUGGAACGAACAAACGUGUAUUUGUGUAUGACGUGUGAUAAUGGCGAAUCUCUGGUUUGCCGUUGUUACUGUUAUAUGCAGCACCUACCAAAGUACGAAUGUUGGUUUUCGUAUUCGGUGAUGAUUAAAAGGAGCGAUUGGGGGCAUUGGUAUUUUGACGCGAGAGGUGAAAUUCUAAGACCGUCAAAGGACUAACAAAUGCGAA
RNAcentral lists this ribosomal RNA (665 nucleotides) under Myxobolus sp. isolate 12. Its description in RNAcentral is "SSU rRNA". It matches the Rfam family "Eukaryotic small subunit ribosomal RNA", at positions 376 to 949 of the family's 1831-position model. The record is from RNAcentral. Lineage: Eukaryota; Metazoa; Cnidaria; Myxozoa; Bivalvulida; Myxobolidae.